CCUACGGGAGGCAGCAGUGGGGAAUAUUGCACAAUGGGGGAAACCCUGAUGCAGCGACGCCGCGUGAGUGAAGAAGGAUUUCGGUAUGGAAAGCUCUAUCAGCAGGGAAGAAAAUGACGGGACCUGAGGAAGAAGCAGCGGCUAACUACGUGCCAGCAGCCGCGGUAAUACGGAGGGGGCAAGAGUUAUCCGGAUGUACUGGGGGUAAAGGGAGCGUAGAAGGCAGCACAAGUCUGGAGUGACAUGCCGGGGCGUAACCCCGGAACUGCUUUGGAAACUGUGCAGCUAGAGUGCAGGAGAGGUAAGUGGCAUUCCUCGUGUAGCGGUGAAAUGCGUCGAUAUUAGGCGGAACCCCAGUGGCGAAGGCGGCUUCCUGGCCUGUCCCUGCCGUU
RNAcentral lists this ribosomal RNA (392 nucleotides) under uncultured bacterium. Its description in RNAcentral is "partial 16S ribosomal RNA". It matches the Rfam family "Bacterial small subunit ribosomal RNA", at positions 338 to 747 of the family's 1533-position model. The record is from RNAcentral.